Molecule: ribosomal RNA, 253 nt
Filed under: uncultured bacterium
Lineage: Bacteria
Description: partial 16S ribosomal RNA
Rfam family: Bacterial small subunit ribosomal RNA
Source: RNAcentral
UACGUAGGUGGCAAGCGUUAUCCGGAUUUAUUGGGCGUAAAGGGAACGCAGGCGGUCUUUUAAGUCUGAUGUGAAAGCCUUCGGCUUAACCGGAGUAGUGCAUUGGAAACUGGGAGACUUGAGUGCAGAAGAGGAGUGUGGAACUCCAUGUGUAGCGGUGAAAUGCGUAGAUAUAUGGAAGAACACCAGUGGCGAAAGCGGCUCUCUGGUCUGUAACUGACGCUGAGGUUCGAAAGCGUGGGUAGCAAACAGG